RNAcentral lists this ribosomal RNA (324 nucleotides) under uncultured bacterium. RNAcentral's name for it is "bacterial SSU rRNA". It matches the Rfam family "Bacterial small subunit ribosomal RNA", at positions 1 to 334 of the family's 1533-position model. The record is from RNAcentral.
GACGUGACUUCAGAGUUUGAUCCUGGCUCAGGGCUAACGCUGGCGGCGCGCCUAACACAUGCAAGUCGAACGAACCUUCGGGUUAGUGGCAGACGGGUGAGUAAUGCGUGGAUAAUGUGCCUUUUUGCUGGGGAUACCGUUUCGAAAGGAACGUUAAUACCGAAUGUGCUGGGUUGGUGGCAUCAUCAACCCAGUAAACUGUUAGGGUGAAAAGAGCAGUCCGCGUUCUAUCAGCUUGUUGGUGGGGUAAUGGCCUACCAAGGCUACGACGGAUAACUGGUCUGAGAGGAUGAUCAGUCACACUGGAACUGAGACACGGUCCAG